RNAcentral lists this ribosomal RNA (492 nucleotides) under uncultured bacterium. Its description in RNAcentral is "partial 16S ribosomal RNA". It matches the Rfam family "Bacterial small subunit ribosomal RNA", at positions 29 to 507 of the family's 1533-position model. The record is from RNAcentral.
AGUGAACGCUGGCGGUAGGCCUAACACAUGCAAGUCGAACGGCAGCACAGUAAGAGCUUGCUCUUACGGGUGGCGAGUGGCGGACGGGUGAGGAAUACAUCGGAAUCUACUUUUUCGUGGGGGAUAACGUAGGGAAACUUACGCUAAUACCGCAUACGACCUACGGAUGAAAGCAGGGGAUCUUCGGACCUUGCGCGAUUGAAUGAGCCGAUGUCGGAUUAGCUAGUUGGCGGGGUAAAGGCCCACCAAGGCGACGAUCCGUAGCUGGUCUGAGAGGAUGAUCAGCCACACUGGAACUGAGACACGGUCCAGACUCCUACGGGGGGCAGCAGUGGGGAAUAUUGGACAAUGGGCGCAAGCCUGAUCCAGCCAUACCGCGUGGGUGAAGAAGGCCUUCGGGUUGUAAAGCCCUUUUGUUGGGAAAGAAAAGCAGCAGGUUAAUACCCCGCUGUUCUGACGGUACCCAAAGAAUAAGCACCGGCUAACUUCGUG